GGCGCGUAUCAGGAUACGUAUCGUAUCGCCAGAGUCUUGCCAAUACACACCCCUAGUUCAUUGGGCCUCCGUGUAGAGAAGCCUCUGGCUGCAGCCUGCGGAACAGGGCAAAGCUCAACGUUUAAUCCCGCCCACGUGGAGCUCCGCCCACUAUAUGCCAUUCUCCUUCAUCAGCGCAGUUGCCAUCUUCUUCUUCGUUUCCAUGUGCAGCGAUGCGAUGUAGAUCUUUUCGAAAUGGAGGUUUUGCAUCAACAAAAUGACUGUUUAACACGGAGCUGGUUAGCUUGCGGCUCUCCUGGGACUUUCGUAAUGUCAAGCUAUUUUGUGUCUUCCAAGGUCUGUAAAACUUUCUUUCUUUGUUUUUUUUUUCACCUGUUUAAUUUGUGUCUUUGUAUAAAGAGACACAUUACAGUUUUAUUGGACGAUGAAAAACCAACGCCAAAAAAACAAAACAACACUUUCCACUGUCCAUUUAGCCAUUACUAGGGUGCAAAGCAUGCUGUGGCCCACCACAUGAAAAACUAUUCAUCCGUGAAACACAAAAGUACAUCUAGGCUGUGUCCGAAUUCCCACCCUAAUCCCUAACUACCAAAAAACGAUAUAGUGCGGGACUAUGUAGUGCCCUGGAUUUUAAAAGUUAAAAUCUAAUUGACGUGAGUGUUUUGCAAUAAAAAUUUAUGAGUCUACUGUCUUCUGAAGAUGAAAACGUUGAUGGUUCAUUAAAAAUCAAAAAUAUCUAGGGCUCUCAAGUUUUUAAAUUGAAGAUUCGGACAGCGCUAAAAAAUGGUGAACAAACUAAAGAGUGCACUAUAUAGUGAGUAGUGAAGGAAUUCCGGCACAACCUUAAGUCUUAUGAAUGUGAAGUGUGUAAGACAAAAGUGUUUCAAUAUGUUCCUAUCAUUCCUCAUUUAGAAUUUACAGUCAUUAAGUGUGGCUAAGGUUGCUAUAUGUCACACUUUCACUGUUGGUACCGUCUGGCAACAUUGGUCAAUAGGUCACAGUUUUUCAAGCAUUUGGGACAGCCCCAUGAAGAAGAAACACCUAAAUGGAAAGCAGAGGCCAGAACAGUGACUCCACUGACCCACCAAAACCACCAUCGCAGCCCUCAGAGCCCCCAUCUCAGG
This is a non-coding RNA of Oryzias latipes (Japanese medaka), 1124 nucleotides long. The record is from RefSeq and is a predicted model, not a curated record. Lineage: Eukaryota; Metazoa; Chordata; Actinopteri; Beloniformes; Adrianichthyidae.